RNAcentral lists this ribosomal RNA (341 nucleotides) under Argas sp. RNAcentral's name for it is "partial small subunit ribosomal RNA". Lineage: Eukaryota; Metazoa; Arthropoda; Arachnida; Ixodida; Argasidae. The record is from RNAcentral.
AUUAUAUAAAUUUAUAAUAUUGAUAGUAUGUAUAGGUUGUGAAAUCAAAAGAUUUUGGCGGUAUUCUAAGCUUUUUAGAGGAAUUUGCUCUGUAAUUGAUAUGACACCAAUAUCUUUCUUAAUUUUGUAAAAUCAGCUUGUAUAUCGCUAUUUUUAAGUUAUAUUGAAUAAUUAUAAUUGAAAAAGUUUUUUUAUUAAAAUGUUAGGUCAAGAUGCAGUAUAUGAUUAAGGUUGAAGUGAAUUACGAUAAUUUUAAUUGGGUUAAAAAUGAAAAUUAAAUUAGGAUUUAAAAGUAAAAUAGAAUUAUAAUGUUUAUUUGAAUAAAGCUCUAGAAUAUGUAC